UCUUUAAAUUUAAAGGAUUUUGCGGUAUUUUAGCCUAUUUAGAGGAACUUGUUCUAUAAAUGAUACACCACGUAGUAUCUUACUUUAUUUUGUAUUUUAGUUUGUAUACCGCCAUAAUUGGUUUCACUUAAAAGUAAAUACCAAAAUAAUUUUUUUAAUUAAAACAUUAGGUCAAGGUGCAGCUUAUAAUAAAGUAGUUAUGAGUUACAAUAUAAUUUAUAUAGAUGAAAAGAAAUGUGAAAGUUAUUCUGGAAGGUGGAUUUAAUAGUAAUUUUAACAUUAACAUGGUAGAUUGAAGCUGCUCUAAAAAUUGUACACAUAG
Molecule: ribosomal RNA, 322 nt
Filed under: Periclimenes digitalis
Lineage: Eukaryota; Metazoa; Arthropoda; Malacostraca; Decapoda; Palaemonidae
Description: partial 12S ribosomal RNA
Source: RNAcentral